This is a long non-coding RNA of Harmonia axyridis, 1741 nucleotides long. RefSeq lists it as uncharacterized. The record is from RefSeq and is a predicted model, not a curated record. Lineage: Eukaryota; Metazoa; Arthropoda; Insecta; Coleoptera; Coccinellidae. The transcript is spliced from 2 exons.
AAAAAAAUCUCACCAUCGAAGAGCAGCAUGAUUUUUUCCGGGUUGCUCACUAGUUACGAAUUUGGUCUCAUUUUCGGAGUAUAUAAUUGAUCAUAUUGACGCCCGAGGUCAGGUAGAUGCGGUAUAUAACGACUUCAGCAAGGCCUUCGACAAAAUUUACCACGAAAAACUCUUGGAGAGGCUUGCUGAGGUCGGUGUAGGUGGUGUAGAUCGUAUAUCUUUCCGGUAGAGUUAUAUAUGUUUCUGUUGCGGGUCGUAAGUCCGAAUUAUUUGGCAUAGCCUCGGAUGUGCCCCAAGGGAGCCAUCUAGGACCCCUCAUUUUAUAAUCUACAUUAAUACUAUAAAAACUUGUUUCCACCAUUGCCUAUCUGAUACUUCUCUACGGGGACGAUUUGAAAAUCUAUCGAUAUGUUGAAACCAUGGAGGAUUGUUUCAUAAUACAAGAAGAUUUGCAAUGGUUGAAUGAAUUUUGUCAGCGUAACUUCUUAAUUAUGAAUACCUCAAAAUGUUAUUCUAUCUCAUUCACGAAAAAAGUUAAUAAAAUCAAAUACUUAUAUGAACUUGAUAAUGAGCCAGUUAGAUACUCGAGUGAGGCAGUUGAUUUAGGAGUUACCUACACUUGACGGGAAGUGGUCAUUCAGGACAUAUAUAGAAAAGACAAUUAAUGCGUCCAAUAGGUUGGUUGGAUUCAUCAACAGAAACAGUAGAGAUUUCAAUAACUCUUGUUGCUUAUUUCUCUAUAUUACCUAUUCUUUCAUUCAUAGCAGGCUAUCCUUUGCAUCUGUUGUCUGGAGCCCAAAAUAUGACAUUCAUAUAAAAAAAUUCAGCGAGUACAGAAUAAAUUUUUGAAAUUCCUUGCCAUUAAAACACAUAUUUAAAUUAAAGAUAGAAACUACAAUCCUUUAAUACAUAAAUUCAAAAUCUUGGACCUCGAGGAUGAUAGAAAUAAUCAGAUUUAGAGUACCUGGUCGCGAUGUUAGGAAUAGAAGCCUUUUCAACAUUCCUUAUCGUAGAACGAAUAGGGGACAGCACCCUCCGAUGAUACAUUUGCAGGCCGCCUUUGACUCCCUCAACUUCAGCGAAUUUAUAGGCAUUUUUGCUAACGAGUGUGAUAAUUUAAAAAAUUUCUUGAAAACUUCUCCUUUGACUCUUACUGUGAAGUAAAUCAAUAAUCAUAUAUUAAUUGUGACUUAUCUACUCUGUAAUUUGUGGUUGCUUUGUUGGUCUUUGUACUGUUCACAACCUAAAUGUACAAUAAAUAAAUAAAAAGGAGUUUCGAAAAAUUUCAAAAUAUAGGGACUAGAAUUUCAGAUAAAGCGUCAGUGAGGAAUGAUAUCAACGAAAACUAUUCCAAUUAUCAUCUCAACAACUGAAAUAAUACCCAAAAAUCUCAAGAAGAAUAUCAAGCAACUAGUGAGUUUAUCUGUAAUAUAAUGCAAAAAGCAUCUUUUAGGUACUGCAAGACGGUGAGAAAAUUGCUGGGGGGGACGGACAGGGAUAGAUCCAAGGAUCGGCGAGAUUAUGUGAAAAAGGACCAGAAGUUUGACGAGGACCAGGGGGACCACAAGGACUGGACACGACAGAGCUCUAUCCUUAUGAUAUUCUAAAUAUACCAACUAUAGAGCUGUAUAAACCUUCAGUAAAUAUCUUAUAAAGCACUAUAUUAUGUUUUAGGAACUAAUCUUAUGUAAUACAUUUUGGUUUAUAUCAUGAUUUACGAUAAUUAUAGAUAUUUUUGUAA